This 501-nucleotide ribosomal RNA is filed under the name uncultured bacterium. RNAcentral describes it as "partial 16S ribosomal RNA". It matches the Rfam family "Bacterial small subunit ribosomal RNA", at positions 30 to 523 of the family's 1533-position model. The record is from RNAcentral.
AUUGAACGCUGGCGGCAGGCUUAACACAUGCAAGUCGAGCGGAGAUGAGGUGCUUGCACCUUAUCUUAGCGGCGGACGGGUGAGCAAUGCUUAGGAAUCUGCCUAUUAGUGGGGGACAACAUUCCGAAAGGAAUGCUAAUACCGCAUACGUCCUACGGGAGAAAGCAGGGGAUCUUCGGACCUUGCGCUAAUAGAUGAGCCUAAGUCGGAUUAGCUAGUUGGUGGGGUAAAGGCCUACAAAGGCGACGAUCUGUAGCGGGUCUGAGAGGAUGAUCCGCCACACUGGGCCUGAGACACGGCCCAGACUCCUACGGGAGGCAGCAGUGGGGAAUAUUGGACAAUGGGGGGAACCCUGAUCCAGCCAUGCCGCGUGUGUGAAGAAGGCCUUAUGGUUGUAAAGCACUUUAAGCGAGGAGGAGGCUACUGAGACUAAUACUCUUGGAUAGUGGACGUUACUCGCAGAAUAAGCACCGGCUAACUCUGUGCCAGCCGCCGCGGUAA